CCUACGGGGGGCUGCAGUGGGGAAUUUUGGACAAUGGGCGAAAGCCUGAUCCAGCCAUUCCGCGUGAGUGAAGAAGGCCUUCGGGUUGUAAAGCUCUUUCGGCAGGAACGAAACGGUCUUUUCUAAUACAAGAGGCUAAUGACGGUACCUGAAGAAGAAGCACCGGCUAACUACGUGCCAGCAGCCGCGGUAAUACGUAGGGUGCGUGCGUUAAUCGGAAUUACUGCGGGUGGCGCUUGCGGACGCGGCUGAAAUCCCCGGGCUUAACCUGGGAACUGCGUUUGUGACUGUAGGGCUAGAGUGCGGCAGAGGGGGGUAGAAUUCCACGUGUAGCAGUGAAAUGCGUAGAGAUGUGGAGGAAUACCGAUGGCGAAGGCAGCCCCCUGGGUCGACACUGACGCUCAUGCACGAAAGCGUGGGGAGCAAACAGGAUUAGAUACCCCAGUAGUC
This 450-nucleotide ribosomal RNA is filed under the name uncultured bacterium. Its description in RNAcentral is "partial 16S ribosomal RNA". It matches the Rfam family "Bacterial small subunit ribosomal RNA", at positions 338 to 795 of the family's 1533-position model. The record is from RNAcentral.